RNAcentral lists this ribosomal RNA (406 nucleotides) under uncultured bacterium. RNAcentral describes it as "partial 16S ribosomal RNA". It matches the Rfam family "Bacterial small subunit ribosomal RNA", at positions 30 to 526 of the family's 1533-position model. The record is from RNAcentral.
AUUGAACGCUGGCGGCAGGCCUAACACAUGCAAGUCGAGCGAGCGGCGGACGGGUGAGUAAUGUCUGGGAAACUGCCUGAUGGAGGGGGAUAACUACUGGACACGGUAGCUAAUACCGCAUACCAUCAGAUGUGCCCAGAUGGGAUUAUCUAGUAGGUGGGGUAAUGGCGCACCUAGGCGACGAUCCCUAGCUGGUCUGAGAGGAUGACCAGCCACACUGGAACUGAGACACGGUCCAGACUCCUAAGGGAGGCAGCAGUGGGGAAUAUUGCACAAUGGGCGCAAGCCUGAUGCAGCCAUGCCGCGUGUGUGAAGAAGGCCUUCGGGUUGUAAAGCACUUUCAGCGGGGAGGCGUUACCCGCAGAAGAAGCACCGGCUAACUCCGUGCCAGCAGCCGCGGUAAUUC